GACGAACGCUGUUGGCGUGCUUAACACAUGCAAGUCGAACGGAAAGGCCCUGCUUUUGUGGGGUGCUCGAGUGGCGAACGGGUGAGUAACACGUGAGUAACCUGCCCUUGACUUUGGGAUAACUUCAGGAAACUGGGGCUAAUACCGGAUAGGAGCUCCUGCUGCAUGGUGGGGGUUGGAAAGUUUCGGCGGUUGGGGAUGGACUCGCGGCUUAUCAGCUUGUUGGUGGGGUAGUGGCUUACCAAGGCUUUGACGGGUAGCCGGCCUGAGAGGGUGACCGGCCACAUUGGGACUGAGAUACGGCCCAGACUCCUACGGGAGGCAGCAGUGGGGAAUAUUGCACAAUGGGCGGAAGCCUGAUGCAGCAACGCCGCGUGCGGGAUGACGGCCUUCGGGUUGUAAACCGCUUUCGCCUGUGACGAAGCGUGAGUGACGGUAAUGGGUAAAGAAGCACCGGCUAACUACGUGCCAGCAGCCGCGGUGAUACGUAGGGUGCGAGCGUUGUCCGGAUUUAUUGGGCGUAAAGGGCUCGUAGGUGGUUGAUCGCGUCGGAAGUGUAAUCUUGGGGCUUAACCCUGAGCGUGCUUUCGAUACGGGUUGACUUGAGGAAGGUAGGGGAGAAUGGAAUUCCUGGUGGAGCGGUGGAAUGCGCAGAUAUCAGGAGGAACACCAGUGGCGAAGGCGGUUCUCUGGGCCUUUCCUGACGCUGAGGAGCGAAAGCGUGGGGAGCGAACAGGCUUAGAUACCCUGGUAGUCCACGCUGUAAACGGUGGGUACUAGGUGUGGGGUCCAUUCCACGGGUUCCGUGCCGUAGCUAACGCUUUAAGUACCCCGCCUGGGGAGUACGGCCGCAAGGCUAAAACUCAAAGGAAUUGACGGGGCCCCGCACAAGCGGCGGAGCAUGCGGAUUAAUUCGAUGCAACGCGUAGAACCUUACCUGGGUUUGACAUGGAUCGGGAGUGCUCAGAGAUGGGUGUGCCUCUUUUGGGGUCGGUUCACAGGUGGUGCAUGCCUGUCGUCAGCUCGUGUCGUGAGAUGUUGGGUUAAGUCCCGCAACGAGCGCAACCCUUGUUCACUGUUGCCAGCACGUUAUGGUGGGGACUCAGUGGAGACCGCCGGGGUCAACUCGGAGGAAGGUGGGGAUGACGUCAAGUCCUCAUGCCCCUUAUGUCCAGGGCUUCACGCAUGCUACAAUGGCUGGUACAGAGAGUGGCGAGCCUGUGAGGGUGAGCGAAUCUCGGAAAGCCGGUCUCAGUUCGGAUUGGGGUCUGCAACUCGACCCCAUGAAGUCGGAGUCGCUAGUAAUCGCAGAUCAGCAACGCUGCGGUGAAUACGUUCCCGGG
This 1343-nucleotide ribosomal RNA is filed under the name uncultured bacterium. RNAcentral's name for it is "16S ribosomal RNA". It matches the Rfam family "Bacterial small subunit ribosomal RNA", at positions 28 to 1378 of the family's 1533-position model. The record is from RNAcentral.